Long non-coding RNA from Cyprinus carpio carpio, 602 nucleotides. The record is from Ensembl. NCBI's taxonomy places the organism in Eukaryota, Metazoa, Chordata, Actinopteri, Cypriniformes, Cyprinidae.
CAAUUUUCGUGCAUGUACGUGAAACACAGCUGGAGGGCUGUUGAUUUUUUUACGAUAGGUGGCGCUGUCGAGCCAUUUUGCCACACCCUCUUCUGAAACCUAUAUCAGACGUAAAUUUUCACCAGGUCUGACGCGUGUGCAAAGUUUCAGGACUUUUCGAGCAUGUUUAGGCCCUCAAAAAUGCGAUUCAUUUUGGAGAAGAAGAAGAAGAAGAAGAAGAAGAAGAAGAAGAAGAAGAAUAAUAAUAAUAAACGAAGCAGAUACAAGAGGGUCCUCACACCAUCGGUGCUCGGGCCCUAAUAAACGAAGCAAUUCCAAUAGGGUCCUCACACCAUCGGUGCUCGGGCCCUAAAUAUAGCUGCAAGCAGCGAUGGCGGGCUCAAGCCAUCAGCGCAAACGCCACCCCGGUGGCAUCAGGUAAACUGUGCCCAGCGGGCACAUGCAUUUACAGUAAUCCUCUGGCACUCAGGUUUUAAGGGAUACGGCAAUUAACGGGUUAAUCCGAAGCAUCAAGACUUUGAAAUCACAUACACAGAACAAUAUUCAUUAAGAAAGUGAAAUUAAAUGAUUAAUAAACUAUUUAUUCGAACCCUUGCUAUUUU